AUGUUCAUUGCCAUUUAUAUGUUCUUUCAUGUACUAAUCAUUUGUGCUAAUAUUGUAGGUUCAGAUGGAUGCUUCAUAAAGCUCACUACUGGUCAACAAAUCCUAGCUGCUAUUGGAAGCGAUGGGAACAACAACAUUUUUCCCAUUGCUUUUGGAAUUAUAGACAAGGAGGACACAAAUUCCUGGACAUGGUUUCUAUACCAGCUGAAGGUAGCAAUAGGUGGGGAAUCUGGCAAGUUUGGACAGUACACAAUCAUUUCAGAUAGGCAAAAGGUAAUAUAUUUAGUUGUACUUUCAUGUAGUUACUUUCAUGUAGUUUUAGUUACUUAG
RNAcentral lists this ribosomal RNA (330 nucleotides) under Triticum aestivum (bread wheat). RNAcentral's name for it is "partial small subunit ribosomal RNA". The record is from RNAcentral. Lineage: Eukaryota; Viridiplantae; Streptophyta; Magnoliopsida; Poales; Poaceae.